Non-coding RNA from Cordylochernes scorpioides, 111 nucleotides. The record is from the annotation of a GenBank genome assembly. Lineage: Eukaryota; Metazoa; Arthropoda; Arachnida; Pseudoscorpiones; Chernetidae.
ACGUCCAUACCACGUUGAAAACAUCGGUUCUCGUCCGAUCACCGAAGUUAAGCAACGUCGGGCCCGGUCAGUAAUUGGGUGACCACCUGGGAACACCGGGUGCUGUAGGCU